CUAAACGAUGUCAACUAGUUGUUGGGGAUUCAUUUCUUCAGUAACGUAGCUAACGCGUGAAGUUGACCGCCUGGGGAGUACGGUCGCAAGAUUAAAACUCAAAGGAAUUGACGGGGACCCGCACAAGCGGUGGAUGAUGUGGAUUAAUUCGAUGCAACGCGAAAAACCUUACCUACCCUUGACAUGCCACUAACGAAGCAGAGAUGCAUUAGGUGCCCGAAAGGGAAAGUGGACACAGGUGCUGCAUGGCUGUCGUCAGCUCGUGUCGUGAGAUGUUGGGUUAAGUCCCGCAACGAGCGCAACCCUUGUCUCUAGUUGCUACGAAAGGGCACUCUAGAGAGACUGCCGGUGACAAACCGGAGGAAGGUGGGGAUGACGUCAAGUCCUCAUGGCCCUUAUGG
This 401-nucleotide ribosomal RNA is filed under the name Cupriavidus sp. Its description in RNAcentral is "bacterial SSU rRNA". It matches the Rfam family "Bacterial small subunit ribosomal RNA", at positions 801 to 1207 of the family's 1533-position model. Lineage: Bacteria; Pseudomonadati; Pseudomonadota; Betaproteobacteria; Burkholderiales; Burkholderiaceae. The record is from RNAcentral.